RNA transcript from Hemibagrus wyckioides, 1096 nucleotides. It is a transcript of the gene named CD8a molecule, with no coding region annotated. The record is from RefSeq and is a predicted model, not a curated record. The transcript is spliced from 7 exons. NCBI's taxonomy places the organism in Eukaryota, Metazoa, Chordata, Actinopteri, Siluriformes, Bagridae.
GAGUGAAAGAGAAAUGAGAAUUAGAAACAGGGAGGAGAGAUGAUCGAGGUCAUGCAUCGCUUCUUCUUCACACUUCAUUUUCUAGCUGCUGGGAUUAACUGAGAAUAAAACAUACCUGAGCGCGAAAUCAGACAAAACAAACAAACAAACAAGAAAAUGACUCCGAUUCUGAUUUUUCUUUUAUUUGUAUUUCAAGGUGUUGAAAGUGAUGAGGAGAUUUUAAAUGAGAAUCAAUCUGGGUCCAUCUCUUGCUCCGGGGAACAUACAGCCUCAAUCUUUUGGCUUCGGAUGAGAGGAAACGGCUUUGAGUACAUUGGGACCUACAGCAAGAGUAAGAAAAAAGGCACAUCAGCUGACGAGAAUAAAUUUACAAUGAAAGAGAACUCUCUGGAAGUGAAGAAUUUUCAGCAGGAGACGGACAGUGGCUAUUACAGCUGCGUGUCCCUCAACAAUAACGUGCUGAAGUUCGGCACCAUGGUCAAACUGCGCGGAGAGAAAGUCCAGUCAACAGCUAAACCGAAAAUAACAACAGUUCAGCCAGUGACCACCAAGACAACUGCUGCAGUGACAUGCCCACAGAAUACCAAAGGGAAAAAGACUGGAAAUAUAGAUGUGCUUUUGGCUUGUGAGCAGUACAUCCUCAUUCCUUUGGUUGCUGGCUGUGGAAUACUGCUCCUGAUUCUGGUCAUCACCAUCGUUUACUGCAAUCAGAAAAUAAAAACAGCCCCAGGUUUAACACUUCUCAAUGAGACCCUCUGAUUGGCUGUGGUGUAUAAGAACAAGACGAUGCCCUCAUCAUUACAAAAGACAUCCCCGAAGCAGACCAGCGGGCCACAAAACUCUACCCAAUCCUGCAGACUAUUAGCCUAUCAGUGGCCAAGAAAACUAUUGCUGAACAUUUCAUUUCAAAUACAUUUUUUUAAAAAGAAAAAGUCAUACUUAUUUUGUGAUAUAUAUAUACGUAUAUCCCAGAUUUACUUCUGAUCACAUUAUUUCUGUAGUAGUAUCUGUUUGAUGUGUUAAAUCAUAUGCUCUGUUUGGAAAUGUUUUGUAGAUAAUUUUAAUAGAUGUAUGAUAGAUGUUGUUUUUUUUUUAA